CCUGGGAGGUGACAGUCCCCAGAGGGGAGGAGAGUCUGGAACCCAGGGAGCUCUGGACCCUCCCAUCCUCCUGGGGCAGCCGGGUCACUGCCUGGGCCGGAGCAGGAGUCCCGCAGCCACCUCCCUGGAGGAGGGGACCCGUGUGGCGUGAGGAGGGAAGAGAGGGACUGGGGCCUGCGUGGUGGGUGAGGGCGCAGGGAGGAGGCUGGAGCUUGCUGCGUGCACAGGACGUGUCCUCUGACCCACAGCUGGAUGGAAGUCAGCAUUUCACACUGGAGCUGUUCUUUCUCUGAGGCUCUGUCCCGGUCAGCGGGUCCCCAUCCGCCAUCUGCCGAGGCCGGAAUUCAAGGGACUUCUUCACCUCUGACCCUCAGCCAGUCACCACAUCUCCCCGGCUUUACUUCUAAGCCUCCCAUCGUCUGUUCUCAACCUUUCCUGUCCAGGCCCUGCCCCUCUCCCCCAGAUACCUUGCCCUGGUUCUGUCCUCCUAAAAUCUCCAACCUUGGACAAGUGACAAUCUUUCUGUACCUCAUUUUUAAAAAUCUAUAAGAAACAGA
This is a long non-coding RNA of Balaenoptera acutorostrata (minke whale), 557 nucleotides long. RefSeq lists it as uncharacterized. The record is from RefSeq and is a predicted model, not a curated record. NCBI's taxonomy places the organism in Eukaryota, Metazoa, Chordata, Mammalia, Artiodactyla, Balaenopteridae. The transcript is spliced from 2 exons.